Molecule: ribosomal RNA, 492 nt
Filed under: uncultured bacterium
Lineage: Bacteria
Description: partial 16S ribosomal RNA
Rfam family: Bacterial small subunit ribosomal RNA
Source: RNAcentral
AGUGAACGCUGGCGGUAGGCCUAACACAUGCAAGUCGAACGGCAGCACAGUAAGAGCUUGCUCUUACGGGUGGCGAGUGGCGGACGGGUGAGGAAUACAUCGGAAUCUACUUUUUCGUGGGGGAUAACGUAGGGAAACUUACGCUAAUACCGCAUACGACCUACGGGUGAAAGCAGGGGAUCUUCGGACCUUGCGCGAUUGAAUGAGCCGAUGUCGGAUUAGCUAGUUGGCGGGGUAAAGGCCCACCAAGGCGACGAUCCGUAGCUGGUCUGAGAGGAUGAUCAGCCACACUGGAACUGAGACACGGUCCAGACUCCUACGGGAGGCAGCAGUGGGGAAUAUUGGACAAUGGGCGCAAGCCUGAUCCAGCCAUACCGCGUGGGUGAAGAAGGCCUUCGGGUUGUAAAGCCCUUUUGUUGGGAAAGAAAAGCAGAAGGUUAAUACCCCGCUGUUCUGACGGUACCAAAAGAAUAAGCACCGGCUAACUUCGUG